RNAcentral lists this unclassified non-coding RNA (279 nucleotides) under plant metagenome. RNAcentral describes it as "partial contains small subunit ribosomal RNA, internal transcribed spacer 1, and 5.8S ribosomal RNA". The record is from RNAcentral.
UUUCCGUAGGUGAACCUGCGGAAGGAUCAUUAUUGAAAAACCUAUAUGCGAGGGCUUUCACUGACACGAAACUUCGGUCACACCCGAGCGGCCUUACACACAACCAUGUCACCCCUAUAUCCACUACCUCAUCUGUCUCCCUGUAGCCUGUUAGGAGGAGGCAUUACGAUUACACAUAAAAUUUGUAGGCCGUGUAGAAUUUAUUUUGUGGUUUAGCGAAGCAGCAAGCAAGACAACAUUCAACAACGGAACUCAUGGCUCUCGCAUCCAUGAGCAACG